This 484-nucleotide ribosomal RNA is filed under the name uncultured bacterium. RNAcentral's name for it is "partial 16S ribosomal RNA". It matches the Rfam family "Bacterial small subunit ribosomal RNA", at positions 30 to 507 of the family's 1533-position model. The record is from RNAcentral.
AUUGAACGCUGGCGGCAUGCCUUACACAUGCAAGUCGAACGGCGGCGCGGGAGCAAUCCUGGCGGCGAGUGGCGAACGGGUGAGUAAUACAUCGGAACGUGCCCAAUCGUGGGGGAUAACGCAGCGAAAGCUGUGCUAAUACCGCAUACGAUCUACGGAUGAAAGCAGGGGAUCGCAAGACCUUGCGCGAAUGGAGCGGCCGAUGGCAGAUUAGGUAGUUGGUGAGGUAAAGGCUCACCAAGCCUUCGAUCUGUAGCUGGUCUGAGAGGACGACCAGCCACACUGGGACUGAGACACGGCCCAGACUCCUACGGGAGGCAGCAGUGGGGAAUUUUGGACAAUGGGCGAAAGCCUGAUCCAGCCAUGCCGCGUGCAGGAUGAAGGCCUUCGGGUUGUAAACUGCUUUUGUACGGAACGAAACGGUCUUUUCUAAUAAAGAAGGCUAAUGACGGUACCGGAAGAAUAAGCACCGGCUAACUACGUG